Molecule: long non-coding RNA, 378 nt
Organism: Anguilla anguilla (European eel)
Lineage: Eukaryota; Metazoa; Chordata; Actinopteri; Anguilliformes; Anguillidae
Exons: 3
Source: RefSeq, a predicted model, not a curated record
UGCGGGACUGAGGUUGGGAACUACUGCAGAAGGACAUAAGCUUGAUGCCCCUGGUUUAAAUCAAGUAUCUGCAGCCCAGGUGGUGAAGAGCCACAGGAUCUUCUGGUGUUUGUUCACACCAUAGCAAGAACAGGCAGGCAGGAACUACAACUAAGAAUGAACACACAAGAGGAGAGAGAGCACUUCAUCAUUUUACUGAGGAACGGAGUUUGAACUACCACAACACACCUAAUGUAGUUUUGAAACCAGUUUCUUAAAUAGAAGUAAAAGAACCUGCGAGACCAUAAACUCUUACACUCCAGAGGAAUGUGACUUCUCUUUCCUGGAGGAGGGGUUUUACGCCUGUGAUGUUGUUGAGCAGAGGAUCAAUGAGUCGUC